AGUGAACGCUGGCGGUAGGCCUAACACAUGCAAGUCGAACGGCAGCACAGUAAGAGCUUGCUCUUACGGGUGGCGAGUGGCGGACGGGUGAGGAAUACAUCGGAAUCUACUUUUUCGUGGGGGAUAACGUAGGGAAACUUACGCUAAUACCGCAUACGACCUACGGGUGAAAGCAGGGGAUCUUCGGACCUUGCGCGAUUGAAUGAGCCGAUGUCGGAUUAGCUAGUUGGCGGGGUAAAGGCCCACCAAGGCGACGAUCCGCAGCUGGUCUGAGAGGAUGAUCAGCCACACUGGAACUGAGACACGGCCCAGACUCCUACGGGAGGCAGCAGUGGGGAAUAUUGGACAAUGGGCGCAAGCCUGAUCCAGCCAUACCGCGUGGGUGAAGAAGGCCUUCGGGUUGUAGAGCCCUUUUGUUGGGAAAGAAAAGCAGCAGGUUAAUACCCCGCUGUUCUGACGGUACCCAAAGAAUAAGCACCGGCUAACUUCGUG
RNAcentral lists this ribosomal RNA (492 nucleotides) under uncultured bacterium. RNAcentral's name for it is "partial 16S ribosomal RNA". It matches the Rfam family "Bacterial small subunit ribosomal RNA", at positions 29 to 507 of the family's 1533-position model. The record is from RNAcentral.